AGAGUUUGAUCCUGGCUCAGAACGAACGCUGGCGGCAGGCCUAACACAUGCAAGUCGAACGGGCCCUUUCGGGGGUCAGUGGCAGACGGGUGAGUAACGCGUGGGAACGUGCCCUUCAGUUCGGAAUAACCCAGGGAAACUUGGGCUAAUACCGGAUACGCCCUUUUUGGGGAAAGAUUUAUCGCUGAGGGAUCGGCCCGCGUCUGAUUAGCUAGUUGGUGGGGUAAUGGCUCACCAAGGCGACGAUCAGUAGCUGGUCUGAGAGGAUGAUCAGCCACACUGGGACUGAGACACGGCCCAGACUCCUACGGGAGGCAGCAGUGGGGAAUAUUGGACAAUGGGCGCAAGCCUGAUCCAGCCAUGCCGCGUGAGUGAUGAAGGCCCUAGGGUUGUAAAGCUCUUUCGCACGCGACGAUAAUGACGGUAGCGUGAGAAGAAGCCCCGGCUAACUUCGUGCCAGCAGCCGCGGUAAUACGAAGGGGGCUAGCGUUGUUCGGAAUCACUGGGCGUAAAGGGCGCGUAGGCGGCCUUGUAAGUCGGGGGUGAAAGCCUGUGGCUCAACCACAGAAUUGCCUUCGAUACUGCGAGGCUUGAGACCGGAAGAGGUAAGUGGAACUGCGAGUGUAGAGGUGAAAUUCGUAGAUAUUCGCAAGAACACCAGUGGCGAAGGCGGCUUACUGGUCCGGUUCUGACGCUGAGGCGCGAAAGCGUGGGGAGCAAACAGGAUUAGAUACCCUAGUAGUCC
This 745-nucleotide ribosomal RNA is filed under the name uncultured bacterium. Its description in RNAcentral is "bacterial SSU rRNA". It matches the Rfam family "Bacterial small subunit ribosomal RNA", at positions 8 to 796 of the family's 1533-position model. The record is from RNAcentral.